UUAAAUAUUAUGUGUUAGUUCUCAUGCCAUUGUAAGGACAUACCUGAGACUGGGUAAUUUAUAAAGGAAAGAGGCUUAAUUGACUCAGUUCCACAGAGUUGAGGAGGCCUCAGGAAACUUAACAAUCAUGGCAGAAGGGUGAGCAAACAUGUCCUCCUUCAUAUGGUGGCAGUAAGGAGACAUGCAGAGUGAAGGCAGUGUUGGGGGAAGCUCCUUAAAACCAUCAGAUCUUGUGAGAACUCACUCACUAUCACAAGAAUAGCAAGGAGGUAACCAUCUCCAUGAUUCAACUACCUUGUACUGGGUCCCUCCCAUGACAUAUGGGGAUUAUGGGAACUAUAGUUCAAGAUGAGAUUUGGGUGGGGACACAGCCAGAUGGUAUCAUAUUAUAUCUGAGCUAUGUAAAAACAUAUACUCUUGAUUUCAUAUAAUUAAUCUAAAAAUAGAAGAGGGGGCAGAAGGACACUCAAAUUUGCUAGUUAAAGGUUGAUAUAAAUGUUAUACCUCCUCAAUAGUUUUUUCUCUAUAAUCUUUUUCCUGCUCUUGCAAACAUUCCUCACUUUAAGACUGGGAGAUGCUUUUUGCCUCAGGGAAAAGAAAGUGAAGAACUAGCUUUAGGUUAAUGAAGAAGAAAACAUUUCUGUUUUUUUUUUUUAAAGAUGGGGUUUCACCAUGAUGGCCAGGCUGGUCUUGAACUCCUGACCUCAGGUGAUCCAUCCACCUUGGCCUCCCAAAGUACUAGGAUUACAGACGUGAGCCACCGUGAAAACAUUUCUAAAGGGACGUCAACCCAGAGGGAAAACUUCCUCUGAUCUAGUGGUGCAGGGUAUGGAAGAUGUGGAGAAAGAGAUUAGACAUCAAGACCCUAGUUUUACACAUAGCUCCUUUUUCCUGUGGAAACUCAAGGGGUUAUAAGUGGUAGGAUUUAUCCAGCUUGGUUUAGGCAGACAGUAAGUGAAGGGUCCCUAGAGAACCUCUGACCUGCCCCUCAAGUGCUUACACCAGAUGUUUUGUGCAGAUAAGGGAACUUGCAUAGGGGGCUUGCCUAAACAUGACUGAAGUGGAAAAUUCCGUUGCUUAACACAUGCACAAUAAGGGAAAUAAAUCAAUACGGAGCUGGCAGUCCAAGGGCCUGCAUGAGCACUGGAAGGACAGGGUGGAGCCACCAGAAAUUCAUGCCUUAAGCCCUAGUAUUCAACUGUGAAGGGGGAAACCAGUAACCUGCUUUCAGUUCCCCUCUUUUAGUUGAGAGCUUUCAUUUAAUUAAUUCGACUUCACUGACUCUCCAAGUGUCUGCAUACCUAAUUCUUCCUGGUCGAGAGAUGAGAACCCACACCUAGCUGUGCUAAGGAGUAAAAAAUCCUGCAUCAGUAGCUGACUAGAAAAGGGAAACCCCAGUUUGUAUUGAGGAGAGAAAACACACGUAAAGGGAGAUUUAGCCUGACUUCUUGUUUUGAAAUGGAGAGAACACCACUGCUGAGUGCAUAUAGGGCUACUGUGAUGUCACGGCAGCCUAACUAGACAGUGCAGACCUCCCUUGAUAUCUUAGACAAGAGUCAAAUGUCUCCUCUUCAGCAUUGCUUUUGGGGAAGUGGAAAGUAAUUGAGUGUGACCUGCCAUGGGGUCAUCAUGAGGAAGUAGGUAGACAGGGACCUGAUAACCUCUGCCACAUGUCUGAGGGAGACAGUGGACGAGUCUUGAAGGGAUGCAAAGAUGGAGUUUCGCUGUUGUUACCCAGACUGGAGUGCAAUGGCACGAUCUCGAAUCACCGCAACCUCUGCCUUCUGGGUUCAAGCAAUUCUCCUGCCUCAGCCUCCCGAGUAGCUGGAACUACAGGAAACUGCCACUGCCUGAACCGACACAGCCUGAGCAGAAUGUUCCAGGGCACAGAGAGACACCAGCACAGCCAGUCAAGGUACGACUUCAAGGAGUGAAAAAGUUGCAUCCACAAAAACCUGUACAAGAAUGUUUAUAGCAGCUUUAUUCAUAAUCGCCAAACUGUGGAAAGAUCCAGAUGUCCCUCACUAGCCUUGAACAUGAUAUUAUUGGAGUUCAGAAAACAAUACCCCAAACUGAAGACCUCAGAAGCAGCCUUACUAGGGGGAGUCAGAGCAAGAUGGCCAAAUAGAACCCUUCAGUGAUGUUCUCUCCCCGAAGGAGCAACAGAUUGAACAACUACCCACACACGAAAGUACCUUUUCUAAGAACCCCAACAGGUGAGCAAUCACAGUACCUGGUUUUAACAUUAUAUCAAGGAGAGAGGCACUGAAGAGGAUAGGAAAGACAAUCCUGAAUUGCUGACACCACCCCUGCUCUAUUCCCUGCCAAAAGCCACAUGGCACAAAGAGAGAAAAUCUUUGCGCUCGUAGGAGAGAGAAUAAAAUGAUUGCCGGACUUUGCGUUGGAACUCUGCGGAGCUCUGUCAUAGCACAAAGAAACGCAGGGCAGAACUCAGCCAGUGCCACCAGAGGGAGCAUUUAGACCAGCGCUAUUCCGAGCACAAUUCAUCUCAGUGGUUGGAACCUGAGUUCCAGCUAGCUCCACCACUGCAGGUUAAAGUGUUCUGGGGUCUUAGGUGAUUUUGAAAGGCAGUCUAGGCCACAAGGACCGUCAUUCUUGGGGAAGUCCUGAUGCUGUGUGUGUUUACCCUCAGAGCUAAUCUACUUGCGGUGCACACAACAACCGAGUGAGACAACAUGUAGGGUGACCAAAAGAGAGUUUGUGUAAGCCUUCCCCCAACUCCACGAAGUACAGCUCACAGCUUUGGAAGAGACUUCUUCUGCUUGAGGAAAGGAGAAGAAAAAAUAUAGAUGAAUUUGUUUUGCUACUUGAAUACCAGCCCGGGAAACAUGGCAAGAUCCCCGUCUCUACAAAAAGGAAAGAAAUUUAGUUAACUGGGCAUGAUGGUUUGCAGCUGUAGUCCCAGGUACUCUGUAGGCAGAGAUGGUAAGAUAGUUUGAGUAUGGGAGUUUGAGGCUGCCAUGAACCAUGGGCACACCAUUGCACUCUAGUUUGGGUGACUAUGUGAGACUUUGUCUAAAACACACACAUACACACACACACACACACACAGGAAAGAAACAAACUUCACUCUCAGAAACUCUGAUUUGCUAAUUCUGCUAGGAAGUCAUAGAAUUCAUAUUUUAACCCUGAUGAAGAAGCCACCAACCUUCAUUUGAAUAACACUGGUCUAACAGGCUGCAUUCCACAGUAACAAGGGCGACUUAAGUUUCCUGCUCCAACUUGGAACUUCUGUUCUCCAUUUCUAAGUAAGUUCAACCUGGCACAAUACUUUGAUAGUUUUUAAUGUGAUAGCUUUAUUUGCCUCAGGAGGCCUUUCUCAGGGAAGAAACUAUAUGAAACAAUAAAUGGACCUUGUUUCUAAUACUUGCUGUGUAAUAAAUUAGUGUAACCUUAAAACAUGCCACUUUACUCUUCUGUACAUUAGUAUGUCUUAGACUAAGUUAAAUAUAUUGUGUGGGAGUUGUCACAGGUCUCCCUCCUCUCUGAGCAACCAAAGUGAGCAGGCAAUUGCUAGCACACACUCCCUCUUCACCCUGACGAGAAGCUGUUUCAUCUGGGCCUUUAUGGUACAAGAUCAACAAAAGGGCAGAGAAAACAGAAUCUGAAAGGUAGGGGAAGAAAGACACUGCAAAAGGGGUUGUAGGCUCCUUGUGGAGAGAACCAAACUGUCUUGUAGUUUUGAGACUGUCAUUUUAAAAUUGUCACCAGGAGAAGGAAAAAUGAUGAAAGAUGGAAGGAGGAAGGAAACUAGAGAAAAACUGCCUCUUCGCAAUUUUGUCCCGUAUUAAUUCUGAUGAAAAUAAAUAUAGCACAGAGAUAUAUUUCUAAUGAAGUUUUUUUUUCUUUUUCUUUUUUUGAGAUGGAUUCUCACAUUGUUGCCCAGGCUGGCGUGCAGUGGCAUGAUCUCGGCUCACUCCAACCUCUAUCUCCCAGUUCAAGCAAUUCUCUUGCUUCAGCCUCCCAAGUUGCUGGGAUUAAAGGCACUCACCACCAUGCCCAGCUAAUUUUUGUAUUUUUAGUAGUGACAGAGUUUCACCAUGCUGGUCAGGCUGGUCUCAAACUCCUGACCUCAGGUGAUCUACCCACCUCCCAAAGUGCUGGCAUUACAGGUGUGACCCACUGUGCCUGGAAUAUUUCCAAUUAAGAUUUUUUUCUAAUCUGUUAUUUCAGUCAAUUAAUCAGGGUUGAUAAUGAUUCAACACUAAAUGCCAAGCUUUCAGAAGAGGACUACUUUUUUCUGUUAAUGUAACUUAAGAUUCAAAUUAAUAUCCAGCUGAUAUUUGAAUUGGCCGCACUUUUAAGUUCUUUAGCCUUACCAGUGCCUACAUGGGCAGGGUGUGCUCAGCACAAGGGUUUUCAGAAGAGAGAAUGGGUGGAAGAUGAAAUAUUAACCUGUGCACCUAAGCACAGGGCUGAAUCCUAUCCACUGGGAGGAAGUGACAUCUUUUUUUAAAAAUUUGGCCUGGUGGUAGCCUUGAUCUUGUUUGUUUGUUUUUAAGCAUCUUUCUCUUUUUUAAAAUCUAUAUAAAUUUCAAAAGUACAAGUGCAACUUUGUAUAGUUUUAUCAUGUGUAUAUGUGCACUAUGCACAUAUUGCAUAGUGGUGGAGUCAUGGCUUUUACUGUAUCCAUCUCCCAAAUAAUAUAUAUUGUACCUACUAAGUAAUUUCUCAUCAGCCACUCUCCUACCAUCUCUCUGCCAUUCCAAGUCUCCAGUGUCUAUCAUUUCAUACUCUAUGUCAUGUGUACACAUGAUUUAGUUCCUGCUUCCAAGUGAGAAAGUAAAAUAUUUGACUUUCUGUUUCUGAAUUUUUCUACUUAAUAUAAUGGCCUCUAGUUUCCACACAUGUUGCUUCCAAGGACAUGAUUCACUGUUUUUCGUGGAUGAGUAGUAUUCCCUUGUGUAUAUACCACAUUUCCUUUAUUCAGUCAUCCGCUGAUGACCAGUUAGGUUGAUUCUAUAUCUUUGCUAUUGUCAAAUAGGGCUGAGAUAAACAUACAAGUAGCUUCAGUACUCAUGCUGGCUAUUUAUCUCCUGUGGAUAUGUAUUACAAAUAAACAAAAUGGAUACUUCUCAGAAACCAGAUAACUGAAAUACAGAAAACACUCUUUGGGGAGAUUUCCCAGUAUGGAGAUUUCCCAGAGAACUAAAAACAGAGUACCCUUUGAUUCAGCAACUCUGCUACUGGGUACCUGCCCAAAGGAAAAGCAAUCCUUAUAUCAAAAAGAAACUCUGUUCUCUUUUUCUUCUUCCUUUGGUAAUCCCCCUGUGCAUAAGUUGCAUUUCUAUAGUUGUUCUACACUUGUUAAAUAUUCUGUUCCAUGUUUUUUCAGUCGUUAUUUUCUUUGAUUUUCAGUU
This is a non-coding RNA of Callithrix jacchus (white-tufted-ear marmoset), 5381 nucleotides long. NCBI's taxonomy places the organism in Eukaryota, Metazoa, Chordata, Mammalia, Primates, Cebidae. The record is from RefSeq and is a predicted model, not a curated record.